RNAcentral lists this ribosomal RNA (253 nucleotides) under uncultured bacterium. RNAcentral describes it as "partial 16S ribosomal RNA". It matches the Rfam family "Bacterial small subunit ribosomal RNA", at positions 524 to 776 of the family's 1533-position model. The record is from RNAcentral.
UACAGAGGUCCCAAGCGUUGUUCGGAUUCAUUGGGCGUAAAGGGUGUGUAGGUGGCGCCGUAAGUCGGGUGUGAAAUUUCGGAGCUUAACUCCGAAACUGCAUUCGAUACUGCGGUGCUUGAGGACUGGAGAGGAGACUGGAAUUCCUGGUGUAGCGGUGAAAUGCGCAGAUAUCAGGAGGAACACCGGUGGCGAAGGCGGCUAUCUGGACAGAGUCUGACGCUGAGGCGCGAAAGCUAGGGGAGCAAACAGG